AAAAGUCGUAACAAGGUUUCCGUAGGUGAACCUGCGGAAGGAUCAUUACCUUUUAUCGGGGAGCUGUAGUUUACUAUAUGCUCCUGUCUGGACCCAUGUCUAUUGCGUACUUAUGUUUCCUCGGCGGACUUGUUCCGCCGAUUGGACUCUUCAAAACCUUUUGUAAUUGUAGUCAGCGUCUGAAAAAUAUUUAAUAUUUACAACUUUCAACAACGGAUCUCUUGGUUCUGG
This 231-nucleotide unclassified non-coding RNA is filed under the name fungal sp. Its description in RNAcentral is "partial internal transcribed spacer region". The stretch from base 1 to 48 matches the Rfam family "Eukaryotic small subunit ribosomal RNA", at positions 1784 to 1831 of the family's 1831-position model. The record is from RNAcentral. Lineage: Eukaryota; Fungi.